UCCGGCUUAGCUCAGUUGGUAGAGCGCUUCGACUGUUAAUCAAGAUGUCGUCAGUUCGAGUCUGACAGCCGGAG
Molecule: transfer RNA, 74 nt
Filed under: Bifidobacterium animalis subsp. lactis BB-12
Lineage: Bacteria; Bacillati; Actinomycetota; Actinomycetes; Bifidobacteriales; Bifidobacteriaceae
Description: tRNA-Asn
Rfam family: tRNA
About the family: Transfer RNA (tRNA) molecules are approximately 80 nucleotides in length. Their secondary structure includes four short double-helical elements and three loops (D, anti-codon, and T loops). Further hydrogen bonds mediate the characteristic L-shaped molecular structure. tRNAs have two regions of fundamental functional importance: the anti-codon, which is responsible for specific mRNA codon recognition, and the 3' end, to which the tRNAs corresponding amino acid is attached (by aminoacyl-tRNA synthetases). tRNAs cope with the degeneracy of the genetic code in two manners: having more than one tRNA (with a specific anti-codon) for a particular amino acid; and 'wobble' base-pairing, i.e. permitting non-standard base-pairing at the 3rd anti-codon position.
Source: RNAcentral